RNAcentral lists this long non-coding RNA (665 nucleotides) under Androctonus crassicauda. Lineage: Eukaryota; Metazoa; Arthropoda; Arachnida; Scorpiones; Buthidae. The record is from RNAcentral.
ACAAAAUUUCAUCUAGCUUAUCAGACAUUUAUAAGAUGACUUAAGAGUUCUGAAGAAAUUUUUCUUGAUUCAUGUAUACCAUGGAAUAAAUUCAAUAACCUAGUCUGAAAUAUUACAUCAAGCAUUUUUAAAAAUGUAAUGUCAUUUGCAUUUCUUUCAAAGUUAUUGUAUCGAGUAUGGAUGCUCCAGUAAGGAAUUCCUAUCCAUUCCAAAGCAUAUCAUGUGGCACAAGAUUAUUAGUGAAGAUUUUUUUGAAGAUGUGAUAAAUUUAGUUCCUGUAGUUGGAAUUAUGCUUAUCGUGUCUCAAAGAAAAAAAGAAAUGUUAGUUUUUCAACAGAUUUGCAAUGACAAGGAAUCCAAGAUUAAUACAGAGAUGUGUAGAGUAUACAAAAUAUUUCUAGUCGAUUUGGUGUCCAGCAUGGUAAACACUACAUAGAAAUAACCAGAAGACUUCUAGAAGAACUUAUAUCAUAGCUCCAAUUUAAUGUAAAAAAUUACUAAGGAAAACAUAGCUGUAGUACAAGCAAUUUAUUCUAAAGACUAUAAUUAAAUUAAAUGAUGUUAAAGCCAUUGACUCGUUGUAUGCUACUAAAUGACAAUCUAACUUUCACAAAAUCUGAAACAUUUAUUCUUCACAGUCAGAAUAAAAGUCUGAUUAAUUUCAG